AGAGUUUGAUCAUGAAUCAGGACGAACGCUGGCGGCGAUCCUAACACAUGCAAGUCGAACGGUGAACGGGGCUUCGGCUCCGGGAUCAGUGGCGAACGGGUGCGUAACACGUGGGCAACUUGCCCCUCACUUUGGGAUAACCCCGGGAAACGGGAGCUAAUACCGGAUACUCCGCUCCCACCGCAUGGCGGGAGCGGGAAAGGUCCGCCGGUGAGGUAUGGGCUCGCGGCCUAUCAGUUUGUUGGUGGGGUAACGGCCUACCAAGGCGACGACGGGUAGCUGGUCUGAGAGGACGACCAGCCACACUGGGACUGAGAUACGGCCCAGACUCCUACGGGAGGCAGCAGUGGGGAAUCUUGCACAAUGGGAGAAAGCCUGAUGCAGCGACGCCGCGUGAGGGAUGAAGGCCCUCCGGUUGUAAACCUCUUUCGGCAGGGACGAAGCGAUCGUGACGUACCCUCAGAAGAAGCUUA
This 473-nucleotide ribosomal RNA is filed under the name uncultured soil bacterium. RNAcentral describes it as "bacterial SSU rRNA". It matches the Rfam family "Bacterial small subunit ribosomal RNA", at positions 8 to 494 of the family's 1533-position model. The record is from RNAcentral.